ACCGGAUUGAGAGGAGUGAUAACCUAGCAGAGAGCAGGCUACAAUGUGUUGAUACGCGUCCUUGUUUAUUAAGCCCGAGCGUAGACGCCGAGUGAGAAGAUCUCCUUAAAGGAUGGUGAUACUGCUGACUGAAAGCUCAUAAAAUAACACAGCCAAGUGAAUAAGGCUCAGCUCUGCACUAUGUGUUGUCACUCCGUGAGGUCAAGAAAAUGGCAGCAGAUUGUGUGAAGCACCAAUCAGGGAGUUC
Molecule: long non-coding RNA, 247 nt
Organism: Thunnus maccoyii (southern bluefin tuna)
Lineage: Eukaryota; Metazoa; Chordata; Actinopteri; Scombriformes; Scombridae
Exons: 4
Source: RefSeq, a predicted model, not a curated record